This 73-nucleotide transfer RNA is filed under the name uncultured DHVE6 group euryarchaeote. Its description in RNAcentral is "tRNA-Gln". It matches the Rfam family "tRNA". From Rfam's summary of the family: Transfer RNA (tRNA) molecules are approximately 80 nucleotides in length. Their secondary structure includes four short double-helical elements and three loops (D, anti-codon, and T loops). The record is from RNAcentral. Lineage: Archaea; Methanobacteriati; Methanobacteriota.
AGCCCUGUAGUGUAGCGGUCAAUCAUCUCUGGUUCUGGGCCGGAGGACCCCGGUUCAAAUCCGGGCAGGGCUA